UUCAGGUGUCAGUGGAGCUGGUUGCGGGACUCCGACGGUACGAUUAGUGUAGACUAGUUAGACGGGUAUAUUAUCUAGUUAAAGAACGUUUCAGUCAAUAGAAGAUUAGCGGCAUUAACAAUGUCACACGGUCUGUUUUGGAGACGAAACUCGUCGUCGUAGGCUAUUAAUAACUCUGGUGUUGACACCAGUAAGUUAACUGCCUGGAGCCUUUAUCUCUGCGCCCGGUGACCAGAAGGCGCUCCCGUUGAAACACCCGUGCCUCGCCGACAAACGGAAACCCGACAUAGUCUGAAUUCGGGUAAGUUUUUUAGACACGUUCUUCACGUCUUCAAAAUAGACCAUGGGCACGGGGAUAUCCUUUUUCACAUGUAUGCUGUGCACCCGCACAGGACAGCUGUGCCUGCUACCUCGCGCUUGGCUGUGGCAACACCGGUCAUGCAUAGCUGUUAGUAUUAAUAAUAAGCGCAAAGUUGACGACGACUCCAUUCAUCGCUAUCAAUUAACAUGAAUGCACAUUCACAUGCACAUUCACAUGUAUUCACAUGCACAUUCACAUGUUUCCGAUUAUGUCGCGUAGGGGACUGCACCUAACUUAGGGUACGUUUCGAAUGUUUGUGUAGUUGUUUUUCCAUGGGCUGUAAAAUGUUAAAGUUAUGUUUUGGGAUUGUUGCAUGAAGGAGGCAGUCAAAGUGUACAUUUUCACACGGGCGCGGCCAAUCCAGAAGAUGAUACAAGUUGCCAGUGAAUUCAAAGAGCAGUCUAACUUACUGAAAAUAUGAUAUCUAGUCAGUUUAGGUUUUUUUAUUUGUUUAUUUGAUUGAGUUAUCAACCAUCAUUAAUUGGUAGCGCUAACUGAAAGAAUGCAUGUGGUUUAGGCAUUGAACCUCCUCUUGAAUCUUAUAACCUUUUAGACUGUUUGGUUAAGUGUGUAUUUUAUAAGCAAUUCCUUUUUGCUGCUUUGAAUUAGUGUGUUUGUGUCUAGAGUUAGUCUCAAGAAUAUGCAUCUGCCUCUUCCUUCACUGUGAACAGUCCCAUACUCCCACAAAAGAUGGGCUCAAAAGGAUCCAGUGUGUAGAUUCUUCCAAAACAACCCUCUUGUAACUUCUGACAUUCCCUGAAUCCUCACUGUAUAUGUACAUCAAGUAUGUGAGAGGCCGAUCCAGAGGGCAGGCAGCAUCACUUCCCAGACAACACACCCCAUUGUUCCCAGCGCCCACCCUUCCAC
Long non-coding RNA from Clupea harengus (Atlantic herring), 1228 nucleotides. NCBI's taxonomy places the organism in Eukaryota, Metazoa, Chordata, Actinopteri, Clupeiformes, Clupeidae. The record is from Ensembl.